GGCCUUCGGGUAUGACGAAAGAGAAAUUUGAUGCAUAUGUUUUCGUUGUUAUCUGACAUUAGUAACACCUUAUCAACAAUAGCUGUUUCCCCUUUUGGGCCUUUGUAGGUUACAGGUGUGUUCUUAUAUUGACUGCAAUUCAGAAGCCACAUGAUUUAGUUCACAUGGAAACAUAUGUAAUAAAGAGAUUUCAUCAUAAGUUAAAAUGGAAACCAAAGCAAAAACAUCAUAUACAUGAUAUUUAUACACAGACAGACAUCCACUGUACAUCUAAAAGACAAACAGUGGAAAUGAAUGCAGUUCCUCCAAGAAUGCUUUUCACAACCAUACUAGAGUCUAUCCCCAAUCUCCAUCUGGAAACAGAGGGUUGACGCCUGCCUCUGUAUUUGCACAUAAUUAUGCAUGUUAUACUUCACAAAUUAAUUUAACUUGGUUAAGUAAAUUCACCUGUCAGAUAAUUCCCUAUUGGGAGUGGCAGUUGUAUUUACAGGACUUUGCUUGUUUACAUAAAUGUCAUUAGGUCCAAUUAUUUCACCAGGACAAGCAAUUCCAUCAGUAUCUAGUAUCUGCAUCAUGGACAGUCUUGCGUGAGUACUUCAUAACAAAGAAUAAAAUCAGAAAAUUUGAGAAUUUGAGAACCAUUUUAAGCAUCAAUAGAUAACAAAGUGUCCAGUAAUGAAAAUGAUACAGAUACAUACAACACCCAUUAAAGGCAUAAUCACUUUUCACUGGCCUACCUUGUAUACAAUUUUUUUCUCUAGGAUCAAGAAAUACAUGAAGAAAAUAGUGUAACACAUCAAGAAUUUUCUAAUGAUAAACAUUAAAGAAGGUUGGUUUGUUAUGUGUCACUUUCACUGUAAAUAAAAAGGAUUGACCUUUGUUUCUUUCAUCAAUAAUAUCAACUAGGAUCUCUCUUAAGUGGAUGAAAAACACUUCAGUGAUAAAUCAUCAAAAAUAUUAAAUUCUGAAAAGAAACUAGCAACCUUGGUGUGACCAAAUAGGAAAUUACACCAAGUGAUUCAGGUGACACUAUGCAUUGAACAAUCAAAUGCCAAUGGGACCAUUGCUCCCCACUGUGGUCUACCAGUGCUCCUUACUGUGGUCUGAGUCUAGAAAACUAGGGCUCUUAUUACUGAACAGGAGGAGUACACAACACUUAUUUUGAAGCUGCAUUGACUAUAGAUUUUUUGCUAUUUGCUUGGAGAAAAUCCUACUUAAGGAGACUGCUUAUGUGACUGGCUGUGAGCAUGCUUACUGUUUUCAUGUAUUAAAUACCAUGUUGCAUCAAAACACUUAGGCAACAAUAUGGUUAUGAUCCAUUGAUUUCUAGUCACAAUAUUCAUGGCGAAGAUAAAUCUAAAUCUAACAUAUCUGAUCAUAGUUUUGUGCAUGCGAAUGAUAGUGGAUCUCAUUUCAUGAGAUUUGGAGAUUGCAGAAAGGAUGAAGAGGCUAUGAUCCUUAAUCCUGCACCUCGGGAUGGAACUGGUAUUAAACGUGUUUCUCGUGAUUUAGUUUCAAAGGUAGAUUCUGGUGCUACCUAUCGUGUGGUAUCUGGGUCUGGUUAAGCGGAGAUGCCUGCGAAGGAUAAUAAUAUGCAGGAAGAAAAUGGUGCUGCCUUUCAUGUGGUAUCUACCUUUGGCAGUGACAUCAUUUCUGGUUGUUCUUUGAUGCCUGCGAAGGACAAUAUCUCUUUUUGCAUUGAUUUAUAGAAUGCUUCUUCUGUGCAUUCUAGUACGUGCUUCGGUGUGUCUCCCUGCUGGUAUUGUUUUAUCAAAAAAAGGAUGGCUUACUUGCUAGCCAUGGUAAUGUGCAAGCUAAAGUUAUGGGUCACAAUCUUUUGGGUUGUGUUUCUAGUUCCACAGAAGAUGGUCGUGAAGCUGCCCACAUUGGGAACGUUUUGGGUGUUCGAAGUUCUGCCCCAUGCAAUGUUAUUGAUCACGCUAUUGACUCUGGUGGGGUUGCAAAUGAUGUUGAGUAUGGUCACCGUCUCAGUUAUGUUAUUCGUGAUGGUUAUGGGUUGCCUGCACCUACGGUUGUGGGUGAGCAUGCAGAUCAGCCAGCUCGUUCUCCCUUUGGGGAUAUUCCUCGGUCCAUAAAUUCUGGUCUUGAUGGUACUGCUCAAAUUAUCAUGAACCGAGAGACAAUGAUUGAAAAUCUUCGUACGGGCCCUGGCUCGAGAUCUACUACUGUUGAUCUUGAUGGGGUCGUCAGGAGUCCUGUAAGGGAGGUCUUUCCACCCUUGGUGGUUCGCUCAGAGCAUACUAUAUAUGGGAAUAUAGGAAGUCAACCUAUUGUUGGUUCCGGCAAAGGCAAGGAGAUGGAUGUUACACCUUGGAAAAAGAAAAUUUGGUGGUAAGAAUGACCUAGGAUCUACUUCAGGUUUUCAUAGUGAAGGUAUCGUAAGGGAGGAAAUUCCAUCCUUGGUUUCAAAGAACAAGAAUGGAAGCUUAGCUAACAGCUGUUGGGACUCGAGUAGGUCCUCAAACAUGUUAUUUGAUGCCAAAGGUGUUCAAAAUGGAGUGUUUUACUUUGAGGAGAUGGAUACUUUACCCACUGAAAUUAUUAAUGGUAAAAAAAUUAUCAAAAUUGAAAAGAAGUUGAUAGACUCAUGUCGGAGUAGGUGGGAAAACUGCUUAUUGGGUACUUCUUGGGCCGCUGACCCGAUUGGAAUUAUCUGAAAGAGAUGUUGAGGAAAAUGUGGAGGCUUGAGCAUGAUGUUGAAGUAUUCUCCGCUGAUGGGGGGGUUCUUGAUUUUUCGAUUCCGUUCUAGGAAGGAGAUGGAGGUUGCCAGUACGAAGGGACCAUGUUAUAUCAACAGAAAAUGUUUGGUGCUUCAAGAAUGGAAUCCAUCAGUUCAAUCCUCAUGGAAUCCAUCAGUUCAACCCUCUAGGCAUACUCGCCAAGCUGUGUCAAUUUGGAUCAAAUUGCCAAGGUUGCCAAUGAUGUAUUGGGAACCGAACAUUCUGUUUUGUAUUGCCUCUAGUGUUGGAAAGCCCAUCUUCAUGAACAAAUCAAUAAAAUUAAGAUCAAGGGCUGAGCCAAGGGUGUGUUUUGCAUUGGUCUUGACUGAAGUUUGGCUGGACAUGUAUGGGAAGGAUUAUAGGCAAGAGAUAGUUUAUAAGUUCAUACCCUCGAUCUGCUCUAAAUGUCGGAGGGUGGGCCAUAAGGCUGAAUUAUGUUGAGCAAAUUUAAGUGCAAAGGCUAGUGCAACAAUUGUUCUUAAUGGUGGUACUUCUGUUAAGUUACCCUCAAGGGAAGAGCGUUGGAACGUAGUCAAAGGGAGACAAUAGUUAGUAUAUAAACAGAGGGUGAAGGAAAAGCAUUAAUGGUUUUCUAACCCUUCCCAAUGUGCCAAGGGAGAAUAAUGUGCUGAUUAUCGACCACACUGUUAGUUCUCACGCUACGAAUAGUGUGGACUCGAAGGAUAUCAUUUCUAAUGCUUUUGAAAUUCUAGCCAAUGUCCAAGAGGAUAACCAUGUGUCUCUUAUUGAGAAGGCAAUUAGCUCUUAUGAAAAAACUACAAUCGACACUUAGCUUAACUCUGACAGCCACAAAAAGGCCUUCAGAACCUACCUCACUGAAAAACAACUAACGCUGUAAGGCCACAGUGUUAGGAAUUUACGGCACGCUUCUUACUACGCACUUGUCAACCCUGAUGCUCAAUGCUCAAUGCGAGUCCAGUCCUCCAACAGAGGAAAGAGGCAAGCGGUUCAAGCUCCAGCCAAAAAGAAUCCUCUGAGGCGGGCUGACUUCGGAUAUUUGUAUUGGACCAAAGGUUCGUUCUAUCCACGAGAAAGAUGAAGCUCGAGAAAGACUUGCCAUCGCUCCGCUAGAGCUGCUUAAGAGGCGUAUCACUAAGGCUUAGGCUUACUCGAGGUGUAUGGUCCAGUGAAAGAAAAG
RNAcentral lists this long non-coding RNA (3900 nucleotides) under Amborella trichopoda. RNAcentral describes it as "long non-coding RNA (ATRI_LNC003924)". Lineage: Eukaryota; Viridiplantae; Streptophyta; Magnoliopsida; Amborellales; Amborellaceae. The record is from RNAcentral.